RNAcentral lists this ribosomal RNA (506 nucleotides) under uncultured bacterium. RNAcentral's name for it is "partial 16S ribosomal RNA". It matches the Rfam family "Bacterial small subunit ribosomal RNA", at positions 29 to 523 of the family's 1533-position model. The record is from RNAcentral.
AGUGAACGCUGGCGGUAGGCCUAACACAUGCAAGUCGAACGGCAGCACAGGAGAGCUUGCUCUCUGGGUGGCGAGUGGCGGACGGGUGAGGAAUACAUCGGAAUCUACUCUGUCGUGGGGGAUAACGUAGGGAAACUUACGCUAAUACCGCAUACGACCUACGGGUGAAAGCAGGGGAUCUUAGGACCUUGCGCGAUUGAAUGAGCCGAUGUCGGAUUAGCUAGUUGGCGGGGUAAAGGCCCACCAAGGCGACGAUCCGUAGCUGGUCUGAGAGGAUGAUCAGCCACACUGGAACUGAGACACGGUCCAGACUCCUACGGGAGGCAGCAGUGGGGAAUAUUGGACAAUGGGCGCAAGCCUGAUCCAGCCAUACCGCGUGGGUGAAGAAGGCCUUCGGGUUGUAAAGCCCUUUUGUUGGGAAAGAAAUCCAGCUGGCUAAUACCCGGUUGGGAUGACGGUACCCAAAGAAUAAGCACCGGCUAACUUCGUGCCAGCAGCAGCCGCGG